AAAAAACUUUUUUCCGUCAUUUUUUUAUUAUCUUUUCUUUCUCUUCUUCUUCUUCACGUCUUUUUCUUCUUACUCUCCUUUUUUUCUCUCUUUUCUUUUUUCUUUCUCUUUUAUCCUUUCACUACCACUGCCUGCCGGUGUGAUAUGUCGUCGUCUUGAAUCGACAAGAACAAAAUGUUGCGGGAUCUGCCACCGCUCGAAACCGUCGCCUCCACUGCUGCACGAAACCGCCAACGCCACCGCUUGAAGCUGCCGCGCCCCUGCCCCCUCUAUAAUUUAAUUUAGGGUUUGAUAUCUUCAGUUUUAGAGUUUUUGUUUUUUUGUUUCUUUUUGUUAAAUUUUCUUGGUUUGGGUUUCUUCUGUAACAAAAUUUUACAGUGAAAUUUACAGCAAGGGUUUGGUAUAAUUAGCUUAGGAUUCCUUUAUUGUUGGGUUUUGUUUGUUUUGGUGGGAUUAUUGGAAUUAUUUGUAAUCUACUGAUGAUUUUGUGUUUGAUUUUCUUCUUUCCCUUUGGAAUCAUGCUUUGUCUCUCAUUUUGAAGUUUGCUGGUUUUACAAUUUCGUUAUAAUAAUGAAAUAAGAAAAAAUUGUUUCAAUAUAAUUUAAAAAUAUAUAAAAACAGAUAUUAUUAUAAUUAAUUUUUAUUUUUUGGGGUAAAUUUUAUAAGUUGUAAGGGGUAUUUUAGUGCUUACAUACUCUAUGCAAUUCAAACUAGGGGUAGUAAUGUAGUAUGUUCUUUUAGCUUAAUAAGAG
RNAcentral lists this long non-coding RNA (752 nucleotides) under Citrus maxima (pomelo). RNAcentral's name for it is "long non-coding RNA (CMAX_LNC003041)". The record is from RNAcentral. Lineage: Eukaryota; Viridiplantae; Streptophyta; Magnoliopsida; Sapindales; Rutaceae.